This 248-nucleotide ribosomal RNA is filed under the name uncultured bacterium. RNAcentral's name for it is "partial 16S ribosomal RNA". It matches the Rfam family "Bacterial small subunit ribosomal RNA", at positions 337 to 581 of the family's 1533-position model. The record is from RNAcentral.
GCCUACGGGAGGCAGCAGUGAGGAAUAUUGGUCAAUGGGCGGAAGCCUGAACCAGCCAAGCCGCGUGAGGGAAUAAGGCCCUACGGGUCGUAAACCUCUUUUGCCGGGGAGCAAGGGCCGGGACGAGUCCCGGUCCGGAGAGUACCCGGAGAAAAAGCAUCGGCUAACUCCGUGCCAGCAGCCGCGGUAAUACGGAGGAUGCGAGCGUUAUCCGGAUUUACUGGGUGUAAAGGGCGUGCAGCCGGAGA